RNAcentral lists this long non-coding RNA (279 nucleotides) under Zostera marina. RNAcentral describes it as "long non-coding RNA (ZMAR_LNC006169)". Lineage: Eukaryota; Viridiplantae; Streptophyta; Magnoliopsida; Alismatales; Zosteraceae. The record is from RNAcentral.
UCGGUUCGCGGUAUUUAUCUCGGAAAUUUGCUGAAAUUAUAAAAAAUAAUAAGUUUCAAAAUUUAUUAAUAUAAUAAAUAUAUAUAUAUACAUAUACGUACCUUUCCUUUUUCCGAACGAUGUUGUCUCAAUUUAUUCAGAAAUUGUGGUUUGCUGACAUAUGGUGGAAGAGUCGCUAAAAUGUCUUCUUCUCUCAUAUCAGGAUCAGAGCCAUAAGUUUUAACCAAAGAAUUAUGGUUGCUCCUCCAGAGUUUGUUCAGCCUACCAUUGAUAUAAGUU